AACAAACCCAUACAUAUAUAUAUAUAUAUAAAUAUAUAUAUAAUAUACAUAUAUAAAACAAAACUAACUCAAGAUGAUGCCAGUGCCAAGGUAGAGUUGAGUUGGCUCAGGCACCCGCAUCUCGUUGGACUUUGUGUUGCCUCAUCACCGAGAUGGGGAAAGCAUUCCCAUCAUGUGGCUCUUCCAUCACUUCUUAACUUUUGGCUCCAUGGUGUCUUGAAGACAGAACGAACAUCGCCACCCGUGAUAGCGUCCUGAUUCCUGUCACUCAUGAGGACGGGUGACGGGCAGGGAAGGGACAGUGCCAGUGUUCUGAAGCGGCACGGAAACAGACGAGGAGGUGCCGUCCGUGGGCCAGCAGUGAGGACACCACCCCAACACCAAUCAUACCGCAGAGAAACGAAGCCCUUAGUUUGUAGAAUGUAACCAGAUCUUUGAGGUCAUUUGCAGAACCACUUCUCCUGAUCUUCCUGUUCUGAUUCCCUCCCUGACCCACCAGCGACACGCAAGAUGUGGAGGAGAAAACGACCGACAAGAAAGUUUUCUCUUUGUUGCCAAACUUUUGGACAAAGUGGUAGAUGUGGGAAGGGGGAGAGAACAAAUGUGCUGAGAGGCAAGAUCCACGUCAAUAAAAGGACACUUCAGUGGAUGCUCAGAAAACCCAGUCUUACCUUCCAGCUGCCUUACACUCAGUUAAACAAGAGGCCGCCCUGCCCCUGACCCCACCUGCACUCCUGCAAGGGCAGAUCAGAGCCUCGGAGUAACGCUGUGAUGUGCGCGUGUGCGCGUGCAUGCGUGUGUGCGUGUGUGCGAGACUACUCCCGGUGGAUUCCUUUACUCCUUUUCACCUUUUCAAUUGGAAAUACUGCAUCAUGACUGUUGUCUCCAUCAUUUGUGGUCGUUUCGUGGCCCAGGCCGGAGGCCCGAGACCAAGGAAGAAUAACGAGGACCAAGCCAGUGCGGGUGCCCGUUCCGUAGCUUCAGAUCCCUGGAGAGUGUGUGUGUGUGUGUGUGUGUGUGUGUGUGUGUGUGUGUGUGUGUGGUGGAUGUUCCCUGAGUGUGGGGUUUUAUCGUUUGUGUUGCAUUUUUCUAUUAUUUGUAUGUGCAGCUGAAAUUCCCAGAGGGCAGAACCGAGAACAAAACCGCUGGGCCGAGGGCCCCAUGGUCCAUCACGUCACAGUUCUGGGAUGCCACAGGAUUUAGUCCUCUAAAUCUGGAAGUUCAAGACAAAGCUGGGCACAAAAGCCAUGAGAGAAGAGGGGGAACACAGUUCAGGAGGGAGAAGGGACGUUGCCUCUGUUGCUGUUGUACAAGUACGUGUACCAAACCAGACCUUCACUCCCCAUCAUGGAAGCUGUCCUUUGUCACUGGACAUCUACCCCUUUCCGAGGGGCAACCUCUGUACAGAUGAAAGAAAAUGGGUCCCAUGCAGAGAAAGCACCUCCAUGUCCCAUGGGCUCGAGUUUGUAUGAUAUUGUGUAAAUUAAUGGAGAACUCUUGACUCUUUCCAUCUUCUUCCUUUUCCUCUUGAUAUUCAAGGCCAUGCAUCCCAAAAUAGCCGUCUUAGUGGCUAGCACCCAAACAGAGGUGGCACAAAUCCAGCCCAGUGUCUCAGGCUCACUUGAGCAAAUUGGCCCUGCAGGUGUUGGCAAACCACGAAGUCAGCCAGAGUCGUGGAAGCUGUAGGGACGAGAGUCUGCUGGGAAGAGUGGGCAGGAGCAGCUGACCGUCACCUCGGUGACCCUGCUGCGGCUGAGCAGCCUUGGGGAGGCAAAAAGUGAAUCCCUAGGCUGUACAGUCAUGGGUCAAGCACGUAGCUGAGAAUUCAGUUGCUUCAUAAAUAAAUGUGCUUUGGGCACUUUGCCAACAGCUCAAUAGCCUUCCUUCCCGUCCAAGCACCUGUUCCAUCUCCCUGUCUUCUGAUCUGUCUUCCUACCAGUCCUCACCUUUCCUCACCCACUAACCACCUCUCCCUCCUCCACCCACAAGGCUACAAGUCCUGCCUGCCUCCUCAUCUGCUCUUUUGGACAGUGUGUGUGUGUGUGUGUGUGUGUGUGUGUGUGUGUGUGUGUAAUGCACAUCCACAUAGGACAUCCCAUGUGCAUGAAUGGCCUGAAUGAGGGUCUCUGUAAAAGUGUAGCUCUCUGGUGCAUUUUCUGUGUGUUUGUGUCAAUAUAACCUGGAUGCAGCUGUGGAUAUACCACUCAAGGCUUCCUUCCCAGCGACAUUGGUCAGCUUCUGCAAAAGAUCUCGUGUGUGUGUGCCUCUUGUAUGGGUGUGCUGAGAGAUGAGGGGUAAGGUGUGGAGCAGGAAAUGCUAGUACCUUCCAAUUGGGCUUCUAAGAAUUUUUAAAAUAAAGGGUUUAUUCUAUAGGAAGAGAACUCAUUUUCAAGAAAACCCAAUUUUUCUAUUGUAUACAGAAUUUUUAAAAUUUUCUCCUUGAAGAGUUGCGUUUCCCCCUUCAAGGCAUACUAGGGCUUGAGCAAGAGUGAGAAGCAGCUCAGAUUGAGAGGCCUUGUGUCUUCCUGCCAAGAAGUAUCUUGAGUGGGCUCUGCCCAGCAGGGAGAGGCAGGGGCCCAUGAGCAUCUGUUUGAGGCCAGAGGGCUUGUCUGUGACCAGACCCAAACUCCAGCUGUUUUCCAGCAGGAAAAUGGGGGAAAAAAUUCUAAAGGGGGCAACUUGCUAUCACUUAAACUUUUCUUAAGUAGCCAUGUUUGAAGAUACUGCUUCACCGACCUGUAACUAUUUAUACCUUCUUUUUUUUAAUCCCAUGCUUGCCAGAAAUGGAUCAGCCACUCUUUCCAGCUACUCAUCUUUAUGAUCGAUCCUUAAUACCGCUUAUUGUGUCCCUUCAAUACUUUCCUGAAGUGUUAAGAGAUUCCUAAGAAAGAAGUCAACCACCUGGGCUUAACUCACCAUCAGGAGAACAGGAGCUUUGAGCUGCUGCUUUGGUAGUGGGGCCGGGUAGGAACAGAUACACGCUGAGGUCUGAUCCUGCUUGGGACCAAUUCAAAGCGUAAGCCAUAUGAUCAGGAUGGAAGCCCCAUACACAUGGCAAGUCCUUGCCCCGGUGACCUUGACCCCUCCAACAUAGGGAUCCAGGUUAAGACCUGCUGCCCCACACUAUCACUGAUGCAGUGGUUUGGCUGAUGGAGAAGGAGGGGGCAGAGAAGGAGAAGGAGGCUGGAGCCCCUGCCAACUUCAAGUCAAAGUAGAACCCAACCUUCUGAUGGGAUUUAGGGUUAGCAGCCUCAUUAAAGCCCCAGCCCCGACCCCAGGUCAAGUUUAAUUUCUUACAGAUUGUGCAUGCAAGGUCUCUGACCAUGUAUGUGUUCUGAGCUCUGUGGGAGGCGGCUUUCAUUUCCCUCCUUACCUACGAGAUUGAGGAUUCAGGCAAGUGGAGUGUCUGCCUGGGAAGAGGUCCUAUCUCUUUUUCUCCCCACUUUGAGAGCUUUGGUUUCUUCGUGUUUCCUCUUCCUCUCUCCACUCACUUCCACUUUCCUUCUGCAUCAAUUUAAAGUAGUUGAUCAGUUAGAAUAGUUUAGGAAUCUGUUUCUGGAGACGCUCAUACUCUUCAAGUAGCCCCCUUCCUCAUUUGUUGUGGCUGUGGGCUUCCAGAGGAGAUCAGUGGCUUCCUGGCAUAAAAAUAUAAAACAGAAUUUUUUUAAUGUGCCUAUUCCAGCCUCAAUCCUUCUGAAAGCCUUUCAAUAACUAUAUCCUUUCAGCUUCAGGGAUCAUAAAGUUAGGAAGACUCAACAUCUCCACCAAAUAAAGACAAAGCCUUCCUUGAUCACAUGUCCAUAUGCAGCACCCUGAGCCCAUUCUGGCAUCUUCUCUUGUUGGGAGGGGGGUGGUUUCCCCUAACAAUGUUUGCCCUUCCUUUUGUAAGGGGAGACAAUAUCCUGGAACUCUUGAGUAUGGAUGGGCCCUACCUCAUAACAGUCAUCCACAGUCAUGAGAAGAGAUCUCAAAUGAACCAUGUGUAGUUCUGAUUUAAUGGGGGAUGUGCUGCUUAGAUCCCUAAUGCUGCCCACCUGAGUCAGACUCAGAAUAAUGAAAUCAAGUACAAUACCCAGAGCCAUUGACUCUGUCUUCCCCUGACGUAUUCUGGGAGCAUUAAUUAACUGGUUUUCAAGUAUCUGAGGGGAGGGAGCGGGAAGAAAUACACUCUGGUCAUCUUUGGGGUAGUUUGUGUGGGUUGCUUGGCUGAUUCUUACAGCUAAAGGGAAGCUGCCUUUUCUGAGAAUUUUCCUUCCACUCCAGGGGCUGACCAUCCCAGUGGACAAAUCCAGCCCCUUCCAGGGAAAUAUGAUGAGUCAUAGUGAGAGGUGAUUUCACUGUGUUUAGAAAUCAUGGGUGCAUACCAGGCAGGUUGGCUUCCAUGCCAUCUUCUAGCUGGUAUCCAAUAAAGUAAGGGGACAGGUUUUUAAACAAGCCCACCUGAGUUGAUAGACACAAAAGAUUCUGGCGUCUCUCAAAGCAGUCAACUUGGUGGGCUUUGUUUGCACUCUUUCCAUUGAUGCCUCCAUGGUGCAAAAUGUCUCCUAAAACAUUAUUGUUAGUUCAUAGAUUACAUUGUUAUUGGCUGUUGGAUUACUUUUUCUGAACAAUAGGAAACUGUAGAAAAUUAGAAAAAUAAAGUACAAAAAAAAAAAAAAA
This 4659-nucleotide long non-coding RNA is filed under the name Canis lupus familiaris (dog). RNAcentral describes it as "lncRNA (ENSCAFG00845031024.1)". Lineage: Eukaryota; Metazoa; Chordata; Mammalia; Carnivora; Canidae. The record is from RNAcentral.